UGGUAGUCCGCGCCGUAAACGAUGGGGCGCUAGUUGUGGGGACCUUCCACGGUUUCUGCGACGCAGCUAACGCAUUAAGCGCCCCGCCUGGGGAGUACGAUCGCAAGAUUAAAACUCAAAGGAAUUGACGGGGACCCGCACAAGCAGCGGAGCAUGCGGCUUAAUUCGACGCAACGCGAAGAACCUUACCAAGGCUUGACAUAUAGUGAAAAGCGGCAGAGAUGUCGUGUCCGCAAGGGCGCUGUACAGGUGGUGCAUGGUUGUCGUCAGCUCGUGUCGUGAGAUGUUGGGUUAAGUCCCGCAACGAGCGCAACCCUCGUUCUGUGUUGCCAGCAUUUAGUUGGGGACUCACAGGAGACUGCCGUGGUUAACACGGAGGAAGGUGGGGAUGACGUCAAAUCAUCAUGCCCCUUAUGUCUUGGGCUGCACGCAUGCUACAAUGGCCGAUACAAAGGGCUGCAAUACCGUGAGGUGGAGCGAAUCCCAUAAAGUCGGUCUCAGUUCGGAUUGAGGUCUGCAACUCGACCUCAUGAAGUCGGAGUUGCUAGUAAUCGUAGAUCAGCAACGCUACGGUGAAUACGUUCCCGGGUCUUGUACACACCGCCCGUCACGUCACGAAAGUCGGUAACACCCAAAGUCAGUGGCCCAACCGCAAGGAGG
This 660-nucleotide ribosomal RNA is filed under the name uncultured Actinomycetes bacterium. RNAcentral's name for it is "bacterial SSU rRNA". It matches the Rfam family "Bacterial small subunit ribosomal RNA", at positions 788 to 1449 of the family's 1533-position model. Lineage: Bacteria; Bacillati; Actinomycetota; Actinomycetes. The record is from RNAcentral.